AUGUACGGACGCAUGGACACUGAUCCGACCGGUCUACACGGCGCGAGGACGACGAUCGUGGCGAGCAGCUGCGAAGGGGACGCACCUCCGAUCGCGGGAGGGCGUAGAUCUCGCGGCGAUUUCCAUCACGUACGAGAUCGUACGCGGAUCUCCCGACGGCGCAACCAGCAACUCCUUCGAAUCAGCAGUUCAGCACGGAGUUACCCAUCGCCAAACGCCAGCAGCCGCAUCGACUUGUACGCGGAACAAGGCCAUGCGCACAUGCAUACGUGCAUGGCAAAACUCGCAAAGACCGCCAUGCGUACGCGCAUGGCAUGGUGCCUUGAACUUGAGCCACGGGCCUUCUGCAAGGAUCAAAAGGCAACGACGCGUGGGCCUCUGCGAUCUACGGGUGGGAACAACCAUCAUCGUGAUCCGAUCUGGCCGACGACCACAGCAGUCUCGGUGUGUCGGACACCGGGAGAGCCCGUUCGAGACACGCGCACGGACGCGAUCUUCAGCAAGCCGACUCCAUCAACCUCCUGCGCGCCGGCUUGCCAUCUACAUCAAGCUGUACGAUCUACACCGGCCGCCAUGUCCGGAGCCGAGCUACAUCAUCUUCUGCAUGGCUGCAUCGACCGCCACAGUCGAUCUGCACGGCUUGCCAUCUACAUCAAGCUGUACGAUCUACACCGGCCGCCACGUCCGGAGCCGAGCUACAUCAUCUUCUGCAUGGCUGCAUCGACCGCCACAGUCGAUCUGCACGGCUACACCCACGCCUCUGCAUUGAGCCGAGCGACAUCAAGUUGUAUGACUACGCCAGGCUACGAGCCAACAUACUUCUUCGACACGACACGACAUCGACACUUCGUCGCCACGAGGGACGCCUUCAAGCGACUCAUCAUUGUCGACACGCCACGGCAACGCCAUCACAGGCACUUCAUCGUCAAGGUCUUCAUCAACGUGGUCUUCACCAAUAUCUUCAUCAACACACCACCACUGCCGCCUCGUCCACAAGAUGGACACCUAGCGUCCUCUGACAGACUUUUCUGCAAGACGCGACCUCGACGACGGCAAUGA
RNAcentral lists this ribosomal RNA (1059 nucleotides) under Triticum aestivum (bread wheat). RNAcentral's name for it is "partial small subunit ribosomal RNA". Lineage: Eukaryota; Viridiplantae; Streptophyta; Magnoliopsida; Poales; Poaceae. The record is from RNAcentral.